Molecule: RNA transcript, 5214 nt
Organism: Pongo pygmaeus (Bornean orangutan)
Lineage: Eukaryota; Metazoa; Chordata; Mammalia; Primates; Hominidae
Gene: LASP1
Gene name: LIM and SH3 protein 1
Exons: 5
Source: RefSeq, a predicted model, not a curated record
AGGGCGGAGGCGGAGGCCAGUUCCCCAGCUCCAGCCGCCGUCGCUGCUGCUUGUGUGGUUGCAGCCGCGGCUGCCUCCCGCCAGCUCGCCUCGGGGAACAGGACGCGCGCGAGCUCGGGCGUCACCCACCCAGCCUUUCUCGGAACCAUGAACCCCAACUGCGCCCGGUGCGGCAAGAUCGUGUAUCCCACGGAGAAGGUGAACUGUCUGGAUAAGUUCUGGCAUAAAGCAUGCUUCCAUUGCGAGACCUGCAAGAUGACACUGAACAUGAAGAACUACAAGGGCUACGAGAAGAAGCCCUACUGCAAUGCACACUACCCCAAGCAGUCCUUCACCAUGGUGGCCGACACCCCGGAAAACCUUCGCCUCAAGCAACAGAGUGAGCUUCAGAGUCAGGUGCGCUACAAGGAGGAGUUUGAGAAGAACAAAGGCAAAGGCUUCAGCGUGGUGGCAGACACGCCUGAGCUCCAGAGAAUCAAGAAGACCCAGGACCAGAUCAGUAAUGUGAGCUCCUGCCCUGCCCUGUGGCAUCCCUGCUGCCCUCUGUUUGGUCCCCUCCCUGCCAGCCUGGCAGACGCAAGCCUGGCAGAUGUGAAUGAGGCCAGUGCCUCCACUGCCCCUGCCCUCCAGGGUGGACCUGGGGAAGAGCUUGGGGUUCCCAGAUGCCUCUUCUCUGUGUACCCCCAGACCAGCCUGCAUAGCAUUUUCUUCUUGAAGGGACUGUAUUCUGUGGGAGCAUGUGGGGGCCUGUGUGCUAAAUCAGCCCCCACUCUCUCUGUUAUUCUUUUUUCUGGAUAUCGUGGGUAUCGGUGCAGACUGCACGUCUCAUCUUAGCACAAAGGUCAAAACUGGGGGGCGGGGAGUGCCUGGCCUCCCCUGGUCUGUGCCUGGGUGCUGACAUUGCAGUCAUUUCCUCCCUUCCUUGGCCUCCUCCCCCACAUCAGCCUGCUCUUCCUUCCUGUGUAAAAACCCCAGCCAGCUUCGCCCGCCAGCCCUGCACCCCCUGGUUCACACCCCCCGCCUCCCUGAUGGUCAGUGGCAUCUGGCUGUGGCAGGGGUGGGCAUGGAGAGUGGGCAGGGGAUCAACUGUCCCCAGCAUCGUGUGCCCUCCAUGGCAUCUGUGGCCAGAGAACAGGCCUCAGUUUCCUGCUUGGCAGAGCCACAGGCAAGCAGCCUGUGUGGCUUUAGGCAUGCGGGGGCAGGGCACUGCGGUGAGCAGCAACCAUGGGGGACCCACACACAGAACUGCAGGGGCUGCCCAGCCAGCCUGGCCUAGGAGGUCCUGCCAGGGAGGGUUUAGGCAGGCAGCUGUCUUCAUGUCUGGAACAGGAAGGGAUCAGUGAGUUGCCCGUUGUUGCUCUGGGCUGAAGAACUGGGGAUAGAGAUUGCGGGGGGGCCUGGCUUUCCGGUGGUCUCAGCACCCACUCCCUGGGCUCCACAUCCCUUCCCACCCUCCACCUGGCCACCUCAGCAGGGCGCUCCUUUAAAAGCUUGGCUGGGCCAUGCAUAGAGUGGGCUGCAGUGGUGGGUCAGGUGGAUUUCAGAAGCGCAGGCAGCCCACAGACAGCAGAACCCAGCCAUGCCCAAAACUGUGACUUUCAAACUCUGACUUCAGCCUACAGUAAAAUAUACAUUGUACGUCUUGACCCAUCUAACAGGCAUACAUUUAUGUAGAGGAAAAACAGAAUGGAAGCUUUCAUGAAUGAGUACUUCCUACUUAGAGAGCGUUCAGAUCUUUUUUUUUUUUUUGAGACAGAGUCUCACUCUGUUGCUCAGGCUGGAGUGCAGUGGUGCUCCGCCUCCAGGGAGAAUCACUGAACCUGGGAGGCAGAGGUUGCAGUGAGUUGAGAUCGCACCACUGCACUCCAGCCUGGGUGACAGAGUGAGUGAGACUCCAUCUCAAAAAAAAGAAAGGGAAAAAAAAAGUGUGCUCUUUCAACUUUACCAGAUAAUAUGGAACUAUUUUCCAAGUGGCUGCACUGAUUUACCCUCCCACCAGCAGAGAUGAGUUUCAUUUGCUCCAUGUGCUCAGAUAUGUUCACUUUAGCAUUUUGAUCGUGUAGAGUGUGAUAGCCGAUGGUUUUAAAUUGCAUUUCUGUGAUUACUAAUGAAGUUGAGUACAGACUUUUGUUUGUUUUAAAAAUAAAAUAUUGGGGCAUGGUGGGCUCAUGCCUAUAUCCUAACAGUUUGGGAGGCUGUGGUGGGAGGAUUGCUUGAGGCCAGGAGUUUAAGACUUGCCUGGGCAACAUAGCAAGAUACCAUCUCUACAAAAAAAAGAAAGAAAAUUAGCCGUGCAUGGUGGCAUCCACCUGUAGUCCCAGCUACUCGAGCGGCUGAGGUGGUAAGAUUGCUUGAGCCCAGGAGUUUGAGGCUGCAGUGAGCCAUGAUCAUGCCACCACACUCCAGCCUGGGUGACAGAUCGAGACCCUGUCUCUAAAAAAUAAAUAAAAUAAAAUAUUGUGAGUCUCUAAUGGGGAGCAGUAUUGCAUGGUGGUUGAGAACUGAGGCUCUGAUGUUAGAACUGGAUUCUGACUUAACCCACUGUUUGCCCACAUCUUGAGCCUUGGUUUCCCUAUCUGUAAAAUGGCAAUAUUCUCAGGCUGGCUGAGAAAAGGAAAUGAGGCCAGGCGCGGUGGCUCAGGCCUGUAAUCCCAGCACUUUGGCAGGCUGAGGCAGGUGGAUUAUUUAAGGCCAGGAGUUUGAGACCAGCCUGACCAACAUGACAAACCCCCGCAUCCACUAAAAAUAGAAAAAAAUAGCUGGGCAUGGUGGUGCACCCCUGUAGUCUCAGCUACUUGGGAGACAGAAGCAGGAGAAUUGGUUGAACUUGGGAGGUGGAGGUUGCAGUGAGCUGAGAUCGCACCACUGCACUCCAUCCUGGGCGGCAGAGUAAGACUGUCUCAAAAUAAAUAAAUAAAGUAAAAAAGAAAAGGAAAUGAGUAAUGCAUGUAAGGGCACCCAAAAAAAGACCCUAGCUGGUGAGCUGAUGAUUCCACCCAGAGCCUGCUGUUCCCUCGUUCACUGUGAUGUAUAAUCAUGUGAGGAGCACCGUAUGGAGAGUCAGACUUUUAUUUUCCACCACAGUUGGGAGAGCAGCGGGGUUAGAAAACAGAACAUCAGCUAGCAGAGCUUUGUCAUGGACCCUGACUUAUCAUCCUGGAGUCCCAGCUAGUAGGGUCCUGGCUGAGUCGGGAGGGUCCUUAGGCCUGGACCCCUGAACCCACAUGUACUUGGACCUCAUGGGCACAGGUAGAGUGUGGCCUCUGUCCACAGAGGCCCAGGACAGCUCCCAGGCUGGGGCUGUGCUGACAUGUCUGGGCUUAGGGCGCUCCUCACUCAGGGCUCUCAGAAGGCCAGAACUUUGCGGAGCUUGGAGCAGGGAUGAGCCAGGCCCUUGGAAGCUGGGAAAUGUUUCUUUGCCUUCUGAAUGUGCUAACAUCCCCCUCAUGUGCUUAUUUGCUUAACAAACCAGUAGGUGGGUCAGGAAAGUCAUAACACAAUUUCCUCAUUUGCUGGCGAGGGGAGGGAGAGGAAGCUGAGGGUUUGGAAAUUUUAUCCAGGUGGGCCCAGGCUGGAAGGAGCUGAGCCUCACUUUUUCUCAGCCCAUUUAGCCCCUCUGUGCCGCCCGUCCUGAGUUGCAUGCCUGGUGUCCCUCUCUCUCGAGUUAGGGUGACUUUCUGAUUAUCAUUCCUGUUGAGAGUGAAAAGGGGUGCAUUGAAAUUUAUCCCUGAGCAGCAGACAUGAACUGGGACUUGGGCGUGUGGUCACCCUGCUCCACACCUGUUCUCAGGAAAGGGCCUGUCUAGCUGUGAUUUUGUUCUUGUGUCACCAGCCUUGGCUGUUACUGAGCAAUGAAAGCUCUGCCUCGGGAAUUCAUUUAAUUUCUGAGCCUCAUGUUCCUCUUCUGUAAGAUGGGAAUGAAGUGUGCGUGUCUGGCCCAUUUUUUAGGGCGAUGAUUGUCAGGGUAUGAAGAGCUUGGUGGAACUGUGUGAAGAGCUGUACAGCUGCAGAGGUUGUUAACAUUGAUAGAGCCACCCAGGAAGGGUGUCCUGGGUUCAGGCAGCUACUCCUCCAGCCGUCGGGUCAGCCGGCCGUAACUUUAGACACAUUUAUCCAUGUGUAAUGACUUUUUGAGAAGGAAGAUCAGUUUCCCCAGCCCUUUAUGGGAAUACCCACGUGUCCAUACUUGCUUUCAGCUUAGAGUUUGCUCAGGUUCCUGGAGCUGGUCAGGGUUCGCAGGACUGCCUGGGAGCAGAUGGUACCGUGGCCUUAUUUACAGAUGAGAAAACUGAAACCCAGAGGGGAAAGUGACUCUCCCAAGGUCACGUAAGUAAGCAUACGGCUCCCCUAAGGAUGAGGCAUUGGUCUGGUGACAGUGCAGCCCAUCAUAAGGGACUGAGCCUGUGGGGUCCAGACCUGCUCUCCUCCCAGAGGAAAAGGCUCCCUGUCACCCCAUCACUAAUGCAGAUAGCGUCAUGUCCAGGGAAGCUGUCACACAUUCAUCCGGGCCCCCAACAUCAAGGACACCUGUCCCUGCAGGCCCCAUGCUGGCACCUUCGGGGGGCCCAGGGCAGGCCCCUGUCCUCUCUGUGUCGCGCUUCCCUCCCUGGUCACAGGUUUUCAGGGGCAGGCUCUUUUCCUUAACAGAAAGGAAACAAGGGAAGCUGACCUUUCCCACCUCAGAACAAAAGUUGGAAGGGCAGGUGCCUCGUGAGCCUGGAGGCCUCAGGAGGGGUGUCCCCUUCCCUUGUGCCCUCCCAGCCACCAACACCAGUAGACAGGGGUCACUAAGAGAGUGGGGCUCGGGAGACUCACCUUCCGCGCUGGGUCUGUGAGAAUGUCACCUGGAGUGCCCCUCCCAGCGGGUGCUGGGGUCGGAUGGAUUUUCAGCCUGGCCAGGGCUGGCUGCCUCACCUCAGGAACAGGCUUAGCCUGUGCUGCCAUGUGGGUGCCGGUCCUUGCUCCAGCCUGAAGGGAGGGGGCUGGGAAAGGAGGGGCUGAUCCUGACCCAAACCCUUAAGUAAACUGCCCUCUGCGUCCAGACUGGACUCCCCCCAGACUCUGUCCAGGCCCUCGCCACUGCCCUCCCUGUGCUCCCAGCCCGGGCUGCAGGAAGUAUUGGCUGUUCAGCCAGCAGGAGCAGCAACGAUGCAGGUGUUUCCAGCUGUUAACAUGUAAGCCCUGCCCGGCCACGUGCUUGCUCUUACCUUUUGU